AGCUGUGGUAUAUUCCUCUCCACAUUGAGGGAGGGGGUAAAUUUCAAGAGCUUACACUGUACAGUUCCCUGGGCAGCGCAAGACAGUAUAAUUCUGGGGUUACACUCCAGGGGGACGUGUUCUCCUGAUUGCUGGG
Chelonoidis abingdonii (Abingdon island giant tortoise) is the source of this 136-nucleotide non-coding RNA. The record is from RefSeq and is a predicted model, not a curated record. NCBI's taxonomy places the organism in Eukaryota, Metazoa, Chordata, Testudines, Testudinidae.